CCAUUGUCUUGUUCUUGUGAGAAAGAAAGGAUAAUAGAUAAAUAUCUCAAAGGUUGCAGAGAAAAGAAGGUAGCAGACACAAAAAAAAAUUCUUUCUUACCAAACAGGUCAAGGUAGAAACAAAAGGAGGAAAGAGGGCCACAGGAGAAAAGUCAUCCAGACUCCACGCUUCCAUAGGUCACUGCCACUUUGCAGUGUCCAAAGCUCAUCCAGAAUUCGACAGAAAAAUGGCUACACAGCAACACCCACCACCGACUCCAAACCUCCUCAGGAGACCUUUAAUCAAGGUCUUCUUCGUUGCCAUUGUAUUCUGUGCCUGCUACUUUCUUGGCUCCUACAGCAAUCCCAGUUCGACACUCUCCACAAUUCAGGCCCACCCACAGCACUGUUUCCCCUCAAAUGCCUCAACUCCUAAACACCCUUCACCUUCACUGGUUCUAGACUUUGAAGCUCACCACAUUCUCCCUCUUCCCCAAGAAAGCUCACAAAGUGGGGGUUUCUUUGAAUUAUGCCCCAGCAAUUUCACACAUUACUGCCCAUGUCAAGACCCUUCAAGAGCGAAGGAGUUCAAUGUGACUAAGUUUUUCCAUAGGGAGAGGCAUUGCCCUGGGAGCCACCAGGCCUUGAGGUGCUUGGUGCCUAGGCCUAAAGGGUACAGGAGGCCAUUUCCGUGGCCAAAAAGUAGAGACUACGCAUGGUUCAACAACGUGCCUUUCCCAAAGUUGUCUGUGUACAAGAAAUCCCAGAAUUGGGUUCGAGUGGAAGGCGAUCGGCUUGUUUUUCCAGGCGGUGGGACUUCGUUUCCAAAGGGGGUGAAGGACUAUGUGGAUGAGAUUAGGCGGGUCGUGCCAUUGAAGUCUGGGAACAUAAGAACAGCUCUUGAUGUUGGAUGUGGGGUUGCAAGCUUUGGAGCCUCUCUAAUGGAUUAUAACAUCUUGACAAUGUCAAUUGCACCAAUGGAUAUACAUGAAGCUCAAGUACAGUUCGCCUUGGAAAGAGGACUUCCAGCCAUGCUUGGUAUUCUAAGCACCUACAGAUUACCAUACCCAUCAAGAUCUUUUGAUAUGGCACACUGCUCCAGAUGCCUUGUGCCAUGGACUGCUUACGAUGGAGUAUAUCUGAUGGAAAUUGACCGAGUUUUGCGUCCUGGUGGCUACUGGGUAGUGUCUGGGCCACCAAUAAGUUGGAAGUCUAGCUACAAGGGUUGGGAGAGAAAGGCUCAGGACUUGGAAAAGGAGCAAAUCAGUUUAGAAGAUCUUGCGAGGCGGCUAUGCUGGAAAAAGAUUGCAGAGAGGGGACCAAUUGCAGUAUGGAGAAAGCCCACUAAUCAUAUCCACUGCAUCCAAAAGUUGAAGGCUUGGAAGUCUCCUCAUUUCUGUGCUGAAACUGACCCUGAUGCGGGUUGGUAUAAGGAGAUGGAUCCAUGCAUUACUCCUCUUCCAAAAGUGACGGACAUCCGCAGUAUAUCUGGAGGUGCACUUGAAAGAUGGCCUAAAAUGUUGAAUACUGCUCCACCCAGGAUUAGAAAUGGGGUUACUAGAGGAGCCACUGUCAAUACCUUUAAUAAAGACAAUCAAAUAUGGAUAAAAAGAGUUUCAUACUACGGAAGUGUUCUCAAAUCUCUUGGUGCAGGUAAAUAUAGAAAUAUCAUGGAUAUGAAUGCAGGCCUAGGUGGUUUUGCAGCUGCAAUUUCUAAGCAACAAGUUUGGGUUAUGAAUGUUGUUCCUUUUGAUGCACAAAACAACACUCUUGGGAUUGUCUAUGAGCGUGGCCUCAUUGGAACUUACAUGAACUGGUGUGAGGCCUUCUCAACAUAUCCUCGAACAUAUGAUUUGAUACAUGCUCAUGGAGUCUUCAGCAUGUACAUGGGCAAAUGUGACAUUCUUGAUAUUCUCUUUGAGAUGUACCGAAUUCUUCGUCCUGAAGGGGCUGCUAUAAUCAGAGAUCACAUUGACAUCAUUGUGAAAGUAAAAGGCAUCACAGAUCGAAUGAGAUGGAAAAGCAAAAUUCUACACAGCGAGUAUGGACCUUUCCAUCCAGAGAAGAUACUCUUUGUAGACAACUCUGAAGCCUGAAUAGCUGUUGUCUCAAACAACAAUGGAGGAUCAGAUGGCAAUCUUCUUCCCAUUACAGGGCACAAACUGAAUGGGCACAACUAUCUCCAGUGGUCCCAAUAUCUCAUGAUGUCCAUCUGUGGAAAAGUGAAAGAUGAUCAUCUCACAGGGGCUGCAGUUCUUCCCAAGAAGGAAGAUCUGAAAUUUAAAUCAUGGAAGUCAGAGAAUAACAUGGUCAUUUCCUGGUUUAUCAACUCCAUGAUCAAUGAUAUAGAAGAAAACUUUCUGCUCUAUGGAACUGUGAAGGAAUAUGGGAUGCAACUAAAGAGACCUACUCCAGCAAUGAAAAUACAUUAAAAUUAUUUAAGUUGAAAGUAUUCUAUAUGAUCAUGUCCAUCGCUCAAUACUACAGCACACUCAUAUGUCACUGGCAACAGUUGGACAUAUUCAAAGAACAUGAUUGGAACUGCCCAAAAGAUGGAAUCAAGUACAUGAAGAUCAUCGAACAGAGAAGAAUAUUCAAGUUCGAGGGUGUUGGGAUCGAAGCCUCCACCAAAUAUCCGAGAAGAUUUCUCAGAAUCUGCAGAGAAGAGAGCCGAAAAAAGGUAAUGAUGGCAUCACAAAAUGUGACACCUACCAUAGAAAAUUCUGCCCUUGCUGCUCUAGGGAUUGAACACCAUAGCAAUGAAAAUUGACAAAAGAAAGGAAGAUCACGGUGUAAUCACUAUCGCAGACCUAGACACAUCAAAGAAACCUGCUACAAGAUUCAUGAUAAACCAGCAAAUUGAUGAGAACUCGACACCAUUCAAACCUAGUCUUUUCAGCAAAGAACAGCUAGAACUUCUGCAAAAAAUGUUCGGCCAGUCACAACAAGCUCAUGUCACUUCUAUGAUUGGAACCAGGGCCUUGGCACAGAAAGAACUUGGAUUUGGGAAAGACGAUUGGCAGUGCUGAGAUGUGUUUAGGGCUCAUCUCCUCAAAGUUGAUGAUUCGCUUGAAGAACAAGCUCACAAGGCAGAUUAUGUUGCAUCAAAAAGUUUGUUUCAUAAAAGUUCUUUUUCGGUUGAUAAUUCUAAUAAUGAUAGUGCAGUAGAAAUUUUAGAGUGUUUGUUCCCCUAAUUUCUUAUACCUUGAGAAACUUUUCUCUCCAUUAUUCAAUAAUACAAAGUCCAAAAUUUUUUCA
Molecule: RNA transcript, 3237 nt
Organism: Vitis vinifera (wine grape)
Lineage: Eukaryota; Viridiplantae; Streptophyta; Magnoliopsida; Vitales; Vitaceae
Gene name: probable methyltransferase PMT19
Exons: 8
Source: RefSeq, a predicted model, not a curated record